ACAGUGGUGGUUCAGUGGUAGAAUUCGUGCCUUCCAUGUGGAAGAUAUGGGUUUGAUUCCCAACUACUGGA
Molecule: transfer RNA, 71 nt
Filed under: Loxodonta africana (African savanna elephant)
Lineage: Eukaryota; Metazoa; Chordata; Mammalia; Proboscidea; Elephantidae
Rfam family: tRNA
About the family: Transfer RNA (tRNA) molecules are approximately 80 nucleotides in length. Their secondary structure includes four short double-helical elements and three loops (D, anti-codon, and T loops). Further hydrogen bonds mediate the characteristic L-shaped molecular structure. tRNAs have two regions of fundamental functional importance: the anti-codon, which is responsible for specific mRNA codon recognition, and the 3' end, to which the tRNAs corresponding amino acid is attached (by aminoacyl-tRNA synthetases). tRNAs cope with the degeneracy of the genetic code in two manners: having more than one tRNA (with a specific anti-codon) for a particular amino acid; and 'wobble' base-pairing, i.e. permitting non-standard base-pairing at the 3rd anti-codon position.
Source: Rfam by way of RNAcentral